Molecule: long non-coding RNA, 596 nt
Organism: Selaginella moellendorffii
Lineage: Eukaryota; Viridiplantae; Streptophyta; Lycopodiopsida; Selaginellales; Selaginellaceae
Exons: 3
Source: RefSeq, a predicted model, not a curated record
CCGGCGAGGUUCCAGUAGCUGUGAUGAGCCAAGUUCACCGGUGUCAUCUUGUUCCGGGUCGAGGCGAUUAGCUCCACUCUCAGCUCGUUUUCGCCAGACAAGGUCUUUACCUUGCUCGGUGUUGUAGCUGUACAGGAGAAACUCGACAGACGGUGAAGAAGGAUCCUUUGAUGCUACUCGAGACCGCCAGAGUAUGUUGUUAUAGCCGAUAAAUCCUCCUGUGAUUUGCUCUCUCUCUCUCGUUAGCCCUUUACUUUUGCGAGAUUUGAAGACAAACCAUGUAAGGUGUUGUUAUGAUCGUUGCCCAUCAAGAAGUACGUGGUGCCAUUGAGAGUGAACCUGGCGUCUUUGAUCCGGUUAGCAACCCGGCCGACAAUGGCACCAAAGUAAGGACUUACCAUGUAAGGUUCUAGCGAGUCAAGCCCCAGGACGAUGUCCACAUCCUUUCCUGUAAGUCAGGACAAAACACUUGAGUCCAAAGACGACCAGACUGUCGCGACAGAGAUUGGCACUCUGGACAAGGAAAAGCUUGGAAAAACUAUAAAAAAUAAAUAGAGAAAGCAGGACUGAUUGGAUCAAUCAAUCAUUCACUCCUU